AGAAUGGGGCAAUAUCAACUGAUA
Molecule: small nuclear RNA, 24 nt
Filed under: Arabidopsis thaliana (thale cress)
Lineage: Eukaryota; Viridiplantae; Streptophyta; Magnoliopsida; Brassicales; Brassicaceae
Description: snRNA_05988
Source: RNAcentral